RNAcentral lists this ribosomal RNA (484 nucleotides) under uncultured bacterium. Its description in RNAcentral is "bacterial SSU rRNA". It matches the Rfam family "Bacterial small subunit ribosomal RNA", at positions 29 to 524 of the family's 1533-position model. The record is from RNAcentral.
AACGAACGCUGGCGGCGCGUCUUAAACAUGCAAGUCGAACGAUCUGUAGCAAUACAGGGAGUGGCGGACGGGUGAGGAACACGUAGGAAUCUACCUUGAAGAGCGGGACAACUUUGGGAAACCGGGGCUAAUACCGCAUAGUACAGAGAUGUUAAAGGGCUAGCAAUAGUCGCUUCGAGAUGAGCCUGCGGUCUAUCAGCUUGUUGGUGAGGUAAUGGCUCACCAAGGCUACGACGGAUAGCCGGUCUGAGAGGAUGAUCGGCCACACUGGCACUGAGACACGGGCCAGACUCCUACGGGAGGCAGCAGUUAAGAAUCUUGCGCAAUGGGGGAAACCCUGACGCAGCGACGCCGCGUGAAGGAUGAAGGCUUUCGGGUUGUAAACGUUCGGUAGACUGGGAAGAAGAAAUACGUUCGUUGAGGGCGUAUAGUGACGGUACCAGUCUGAAGCCCCGGCUAAUUACGUGCCAGCAGCCGCGGUAAU